UACGGCCAUAUCCGGUUGAAACACCGGUUCCUGUUCGAUCACCGAAGUUAAGCCACGUCGAUCUUAGUAGAAACCUAGAUGGUUGACCGCUUGGGAAUACCUGGUGUUGUAAG
Molecule: non-coding RNA, 113 nt
Organism: Acanthosepion pharaonis
Lineage: Eukaryota; Metazoa; Mollusca; Cephalopoda; Sepiida; Sepiidae
Source: the annotation of a GenBank genome assembly